CAGUCGCCGCGGUAAUACGUAGGUGGCAGGCGUUGUCCGGAAUUAUUGGGCGUAAAGGGCUCGCAGGCGGUUUCUUAAGUCUGAUGUGAAAGCCCCCGGCUCAACCGGGGAGGGUCAUUGGAAACUGGGAAACUUGAGUGCAGAAGAGGAGAGUGGAGUUCCACGUGUAGCGGUGAAAUGCGUAGAGAUGUGGAGGAACACCAGUGGCGAAGGCGACUCUCUGGUCUGUAACUGACGCUGAGGAGCGAAAGCGUGGGGAGCGAACAGGAUUAGAUACCCCAGUAGUCCCUGUCUCUUAUAC
This 301-nucleotide ribosomal RNA is filed under the name uncultured bacterium. Its description in RNAcentral is "partial 16S ribosomal RNA". It matches the Rfam family "Bacterial small subunit ribosomal RNA", at positions 509 to 807 of the family's 1533-position model. The record is from RNAcentral.